GAUGAAGAACGUAGCGAAAUGCGAUACUUGGUGUGAAUUGCAGAAUCCCGCGAAUCAUCGAGUUUUUGAACGCAAGUUGCGCCCGAAGCCAUUCGGCCGAGGGCACGUCUGCCUGGGUGUCACGCAUCGUUGCCCCCCCCAAACUCCGGUUCGGGCAGGGCGGAAGUUGGCCUCCCGUGCGUGCCUGCGCGCGCGGUUAGCCCAAAAGCGAGUCCUCGGCGACGAGCGCCACGACAAUCGGUGGUUUUUUUACCCUCGUUCCUCGUCGUGCGUGCCCCGUCGCCCGAACGCGCUCUUGUGACCCUCACGCGUCGCCUCGGCGGCGCUCCCAACGCGACCCCAGGGCAGGCGGGACUACCCGCUGAGUUUAAGCAUAUCAAUAAGCGGAGGA
This 391-nucleotide unclassified non-coding RNA is filed under the name soil metagenome. RNAcentral describes it as "partial contains 5.8S ribosomal RNA, internal transcribed spacer 2, and large subunit ribosomal RNA". The stretch from base 1 to 122 matches the Rfam family "5.8S ribosomal RNA", at positions 35 to 154 of the family's 154-position model. The record is from RNAcentral.